RNAcentral lists this transfer RNA (73 nucleotides) under Fidelibacterota bacterium. Its description in RNAcentral is "tRNA-Arg". It matches the Rfam family "tRNA". Rfam says of the family: Transfer RNA (tRNA) molecules are approximately 80 nucleotides in length. Their secondary structure includes four short double-helical elements and three loops (D, anti-codon, and T loops). The record is from RNAcentral. Lineage: Bacteria; Pseudomonadati; Fidelibacterota.
GCUCCCAUAGCUCAACGGAUAGAGCAACAGCCUUCUAAGCUGUAGGUUAUGUGUUCGAAUCACAUUGAGAGUA